AGUGAACGCUGGCGGUAGGCCUAACACAUGCAGGUCGAACGGCAGCACAGUAAGAGCUUGCCCUUACGGGUGGCGAGUGGCGGACGGGUGAGGAAUACAUCGGAAUCUACUUUUUCGUGGGGGAUAACGUAGGGAAACUUACGCUAAUACCGCAUACGACCUACGGGUGAAAGCAGGGGAUCUUCGGACCUUGCGCGAUUGAAUGAGCCGAUGUCGGAUUAGCUAGUUGGCGGGGUAAAGGCCCACCAAGGCGACGAUCCGUAGCUGGUCUGAGAGGAUGAUCAGCCACACUGGAACUGAGACACGGUCCAGACUCCUACGGGAGGCAGCAGUGGGGAAUAUUGGACAAUGGGCGCAAGCCUGAUCCAGCCAUACCGCGUGGGUGAAGAAGGCCUUCGGGUUGUAAAGCCCUUUUGUUGGGAAAGAAAAGCAGCAGGUUAAUACCCCGCUGUUCUGACGGUACCCAAAGAAUAAGCACCGGCUAACUUCG
RNAcentral lists this ribosomal RNA (490 nucleotides) under uncultured bacterium. RNAcentral describes it as "partial 16S ribosomal RNA". It matches the Rfam family "Bacterial small subunit ribosomal RNA", at positions 29 to 505 of the family's 1533-position model. The record is from RNAcentral.